Molecule: transfer RNA, 61 nt
Filed under: Amynthas carnosus
Lineage: Eukaryota; Metazoa; Annelida; Clitellata; Crassiclitellata; Megascolecidae
Description: tRNA-Phe
Source: RNAcentral
AUUUAGGUAGCUUAAUUAAAGCACAUCUCUGAAGAAGAUAAGAUGGGCCUACCCCUAAAUA